ACUCCUACGGGAGGCAGCAGUGGGGAAUAUUGCACAAUGGGCGCAAGCCUGAUGCAGCCAUGCCGCGUGUGUGAAGAAGGCCUUCGGUUGUAAAGCACUUUCAGUCGUGAGGAAGGUAGUGUAGUUAAUAGCUGCAUUAUUUGACGUUAGCGACAGAAGAAGCACCGGCUAACUCCGUGCCAGCAGCCGCGGUAAUACGGAGGGUGCGAGCGUUAAUCGGAAUUACUGGGCGUAAAGCGCAUGCAGGUGGUUUGUUAAGUCAGAUGUGAAAGCCCGGGGCUCAACCUCGGAAUAGCAUUUGAAACUGGCAGACUAGAGUACUGUAGAGGGGGUAGGAAUUUCAGGUGUAGCGGUGAAAUGCGUAGAGAUCUGAAGGAAUACCGGUGGCGAAGGCGGCCCCCUGGACAGAUACUGACACUCAGAUGCGAAAGCGUGGGGAGCAAACAGGAUUAGAU
Molecule: ribosomal RNA, 455 nt
Filed under: uncultured bacterium
Lineage: Bacteria
Description: bacterial SSU rRNA
Rfam family: Bacterial small subunit ribosomal RNA
Source: RNAcentral